Molecule: long non-coding RNA, 586 nt
Filed under: Hordeum vulgare
Lineage: Eukaryota; Viridiplantae; Streptophyta; Magnoliopsida; Poales; Poaceae
Description: long non-coding RNA (HVUL_LNC003432)
Source: RNAcentral
UUUUUCUGCAGAAAAUAGAAGAUCUCAGAAUCGCCCAAAACUUUUUCAGGAUUUUUAUGGAAAAAAUAAGAAAUACCAAAGCGAAGAACCACUGGAGGAGAGCCACCUAUGGGCCACGAGGCAACAGGGUGCGGCCACGCCAUGGCCGUGCCAUGUUGUGUGGUUGGGCCCAUGUGGCUCCGUCUUGCAUAAUUCCAACGCUGAAAAAUCCUAUAUAAAAAAAACCCUCCGAAAGUUAACCUAGAAAUUCUGCUCCGCUAUCACAACUCUCUAUAUCUCUCUAUAUCGAAAAAAUCCAUCUAGAGCCUUUUGAGUACCGUGCCGGAGCGGCGAAAUCAUCACCGGUGGCCAUCUCCAUCAUCCCGGCGGUGGCCAUGACGAGGAGGGAGUAGUUCACCCUCGGGGCUGAGGGUAUGUACCAGUAGCUAUGUGUUUGAUCUCUCUCUCUCUCUCUCUCUCGUGUUCUUGAUAUGUCCCAAUUUUGAUGUAUCACGGGCUUUGUUAAUAUAGUUGGAUCAUAUGGUGUUUGUCCCUUGCUAUCUUGUUAUCGUGAAUUUAAUCUUUCCCUUUGAGAUCUCGUUAUGUU